GAUGAACGCUGGCGGCGUGCUUAACACAUGCAAGUCGAACGGGAAAUCUUUCAUUGUGACUUCGGUGGAUUUGAUUUAUUUCUAGUGGCGGACGGGUGAGUAACGCGUGGGUAACCUGCCUUAUACAGGGGGAUAACAGUCAGAAAUGGCUGCUAAUACCGCAUAAGCGCACAGAGCUGCAUGUCUCAGUGUGAAAAACUCCGGUGGGAUAAGAUGGACCCGCGUUGGAUUAGCUGGUUGGUGGGGUAACGGCCCGCCAAGGCGGCGAACCAUAGCCGGCAGGGGGAGGGGAACGGCCAGAAUGGGAAUGAGGCACAGCCCAGACUGCUACGGGAGGGGGCAGAUGGGAGUAAUGCACAAGGGGGGGAAACCUGAUGAAGCGGCGCGGCGUGAAGGAAGAAGUGUCUCGGUAUGUAAACUUGUAUCAGCAGGGAAGAUAGUGACGGUACCUGACUAAGAAGCCCCGGCUAACUACGUG
Molecule: ribosomal RNA, 478 nt
Filed under: uncultured bacterium
Lineage: Bacteria
Description: partial 16S ribosomal RNA
Rfam family: Bacterial small subunit ribosomal RNA
Source: RNAcentral